Molecule: long non-coding RNA, 1256 nt
Filed under: Triticum aestivum (bread wheat)
Lineage: Eukaryota; Viridiplantae; Streptophyta; Magnoliopsida; Poales; Poaceae
Description: long non-coding RNA (TAES_LNC013002)
Source: RNAcentral
UAUAUAUAUGCCGUUCAAAGGAUUUCCAAGGAAUCGGACCAAGUUGAUGAUCAGUUUCAUACUAAUACUUUGAUGCAUGGUAUGUGUGGUAGUCGUUCAAGAUGCAUGCCAUAUCUAGCUUCAAUUAACUGAAAACAUCCUUGUUUCGCAGAUUUUGGCAAGUACAGAUGAUAAAGAUUCAUGAUUUGGCUGCGCGCAUGCUUGCUGGCUGGAGGUACUUGCAGCUAUAAAGAAUCAUGAUUUGGCACUUACUAAAAUACCGCGUCUACAUGUUUUAUGAUUGACGCUGCGCUAUAACUGUAGGAGUUUGAUUCAUUACUUAAUGGCCUCAAAAUGGAUACAGGAUCUGUUGGAAUCAAGAAGGCGUUAAGGUAGCCCACUUGAUCUACUUUAGCUCCAUGCUUUAUUAAUGGCCAGCUUACUUACUUUGAUAUACAACACUUAUGUUGAUUGACAUCAACUCCACGAUUCAACUAGCAUAGUGAUGUGAAAUAUUCAUGCAGUGUGUCGAAACUGUUCCAAAAAAUCAAAUAAAUGGACCUGCGUCGAAAGGGUAGCGCUGCUACUUGGUUAAGUCAAACAUUAAUGUCGAUGCACAUGUCAAAACUGUAGGAUUGCAAUUUAUAUUUUGUUGGAAGAUGGCAGACUUUCUUUUUUCUACACAAGGGCUAUCAAGGCUGCUGUGUACUAUAGCACCUGUACUUUUCCUCAUUCAAGUAGAUUGAACCUGAUGCAUUUCUAUGCAAGGGAAUUUAAAUUAUGUCUGAUCUGUACCAGGACGACGUCAAAAGCAAAAGGAACUAAGGAAGGGUUCUCGAGGUCUGCUCCUUCUCCACCGGUAGAGAGGAGCCUCCUUCUCAUGAUUCGCCUGUCUGCCCGGGCCCUCCCCGGCUAAAGCUGACGCCAUGGAAGGCCCCUUACCCCUCUUCCUCCUCUCUUCUGUUCCCUCUUUGUUAUAGGCGCAGUCAAUUUUUUUUGUUCUUUCUCUCUUUCCAAUUUAAACAUGAGCAUGCCCGUGCUCUCUUUUUGGUUGUGGUAGCUGUCAUAUCAUGUUGCAAUUUAGUUACAUUUUUUGGUCCCAUGUAUAUCCAAAUCAAAAAACACUUGUGGUGUGGUACAGUUAUAUUGCAAGUCGAAAAAUAUUAUAUGUGUUAACAUCGGAUGGUCCAAGUUGAAAUUCAGUUUGUAUUAUUCAAUAUGCAUUCUAACAAACAUGUUCUGUUUGGCAUCAUACUAUCAUUCAACUUAAAAGAUGC